RNAcentral lists this ribosomal RNA (1475 nucleotides) under metagenome. Its description in RNAcentral is "bacterial SSU rRNA". It matches the Rfam family "Bacterial small subunit ribosomal RNA". The record is from RNAcentral.
AGAGUUUGAUCCUGGCUCAGGACGAACGCUGGCGGCGCGCCUAACACAUGCAAGUCGAACGAGAGAGAGGGAGCUUGCUUCUUCGAUCGAGUGGCGAACGGGUGAGUAACGCGUGAGGAACCUGCCUCAAAGAGGGGGACAACAGUUGGAAACGACUGCUAAUACCGCAUAAGCCCACGGGUCGGCAUCGAUCUGAGGGAAAAGGAGCAAUCCGCUUUGAGAUGGCCUCGCGUCCGAUUAGCUGGUUGGUGAGGUAACGGCCCACCAAGGCGACGAUCGGUAGCCGGACUGAGAGGUUGAACGGCCACAUUGGGACUGAGACACGGCCCAGACUCCUACGGGAGGCAGCAGUGGGGAAUAUUGCACAAUGGGGGAAACCCUGAUGCAGCGACGCCGCGUGGAGGAAGAAGGUCUUCGGAUUGUAAACUCCUGUUGUUGAGGAAGAUAAUGACGGUACUCAACAAGGAAGUGACGGCUAACUACGUGCCAGCAGCCGCGGUAAAGCGUAGGUCACAAGCGUUGUCCGGAAUUACUGGGUGUAAAGGGAGCGCAGGCGGGAAGACAAGUUGGAAGUGAAAUCUAUGGGCUCAACCCAUAAACUGCUUUCAAAACUGUUUUUCUUGAGUAGUGCAGAGGUAGGCGGAAUUCCCGGUGUAGCGGUGGAAUGCGUAGAUAUCGGGAGGAACACCAGUGGCGGAGGCGGCCUGCUGGGCACCAACUGACGCUGAGGCUCGAAAGUGUGGGUAGCAAACAGGAUUAGAUACCCUGGUAGUCCACACCGUAAACGAUGAUUACUAGGUGUUGGAGGAUUGACCCCUUCAGUGCCGCAGUUAACACAAUAAGUAAUCCACCUGGGGAGUACGACCGCAAGGUUGAAACUCAAAGGAAUUGACGGGGGCCCGCACAAGCAGUGGAGUAUGUGGUUUAAUUCGACGCAACGCGAAGAACCUUACCAAGUCUUGACAUCCCUUGACGAACAUAGAAAUAUGUUUUCUCUUCGGAGCAAGGAGACAGGUGGUGCGUGGUUGUCGUCAGCUCGUGUCGUGAGAUGUUGGGUUAAGUCCCGCAACGAGCGCAACCCUUAUCGUCAGUAGCCAGCAGGUAAAGCUGGGCACUCUGGCGAGACUGCCGGAGAUAAUCCGGAGGAAGGUGGGGAUGACGUCAAAUCAUCAUGCCCCUUAUGAUCUGGGCUACACACGUGCUACAAUGGCGUUUAACAAAGAGAAGCGAAGCUGUGAGGCAGAGCAAAUCUCAAAAACAACGUCUCAGUUCGGAUUGUAGUCUGCAACUCGACUACAUGAAGCUGGAAUCGCUAGUAAUCGCGAAUCAGAAUGUCGCGGUGAAUACGUUCCCGGGUCUUGUACACACCGCCCGUCACACCAUGGGAGUUGAUAACGCCCGAAGUCAGUGACCCAACUGUAAAGAGGGAGCUGCCGAAGGCGGGAUCGAUAACUGGGGUGAAGUCGUAACAAGGU